AGCAAAAAAAAAAUUAAAAAAAAAUUAAUGUUGUAUUUUUAAUUGAAGUAUUUUUUUCUAGUUAGUUAUAGGG
This 73-nucleotide transfer RNA is filed under the name Urtica mairei. RNAcentral's name for it is "tRNA-His". The record is from RNAcentral. Lineage: Eukaryota; Viridiplantae; Streptophyta; Magnoliopsida; Rosales; Urticaceae.